CAAAAGUUGACCUUCAGAACCAGUCAUGUUCUCUGUGUCUCUAGUGCUGCUCUUGGCAGCCACAUCCUGUGUCCACUCUGAUGAGCUGAUUCAGCCUGACUCUCAGACUGUUCGUCCAGGUCAGCAAAUGACCAUCAACUGCAAGCCCUCAUAUUCAGUUACUACCUAUGCUACAGCUUGGAUUCGACAACCAGCUGGAAAAGCUCUGGAGUAUAUUGGAUAUAUCAGCAGUGGUGGGAGCUCAUACUACAAAGAGUCUCUGAAAAACAAGUUCAGCAUCUCAAGAGACACCAGCAGUAAAACAAUAACAUUACAAGGGAUUAAUCUCCAGACUGAAGACACAGCUGUGUAUUACUGUGCCCGUUACACACAUUAUUUCCAUCUGGUAGAGGAGCUGAUCAGCGAGGAUGAAGUGUGGCUGCCGAUUCUCACCACCUGGGGCCUGCUGAUCAGGAAGUCUAAUAUUCAGCUGCAGAUUGAGGAUGCUAGACCGAGGUCAGCGAGCCUUGAGACAAGUUUUGAGGGAAUGAUUGUGUUGAAUGCCAAGCUGUAG
Molecule: non-coding RNA, 553 nt
Organism: Chanos chanos (milkfish)
Lineage: Eukaryota; Metazoa; Chordata; Actinopteri; Gonorynchiformes; Chanidae
Source: the annotation of a RefSeq genome assembly